Molecule: long non-coding RNA, 612 nt
Organism: Acromyrmex echinatior (Panamanian leafcutter ant)
Lineage: Eukaryota; Metazoa; Arthropoda; Insecta; Hymenoptera; Formicidae
Source: RefSeq, a predicted model, not a curated record
CAUACGAGAGCAGUUGAAGAUAACAGAAGGAAAGAGCUCUACUCCAGACAUACUUAUUUCUGUCUUUCAAAGUGAGCGAUGGUGGACCAAUCAGCUUGAAUGUAAGGCUACAAUUCUCGAACGUCUAUCUUCGUUGCUCUCGACUAUUUCCCGGCCUGCCGUGACGACCAAUCAAUUCACUACUAGAAAAGAAGAGAAUUACUCUGCGACUAGAGAGCUUCACAGAGAGAGAGAGGCAAAUUGCAUCACGUGACUCGGUUUCCUCUAAUUGGAUCUAAUAUUUAAGCUUCGUAGAGUUAUGGUGGGGAUAUCUGAACAGGAUUUGUGCAUAUUAUAAAAUCCCUGCCAGCAAUGCUUUAAGAUGCACAAACUCUAAUAAAGAAAGAUAUUGCAUAACAUUUACCCAAGAUCCAAACUCAAGACAAAAAUGGAUUGAUACUGCCUGAAAUUCCUGAUUGGAAACCUUCAGCUUUACUGUGUGAGAUUGGUAUCGAAGCGUGCAUACAAAUUAUAAUAUUCAUUUCCAUUCAGAAUUAUUCCGCGUUGGUAGCAAAAAAAUUAUGAGGACAGGUGCCAUACCAAAUUUGUUUUGCAAAUGUGAUGAAAGUAGAA